This 500-nucleotide ribosomal RNA is filed under the name uncultured bacterium. Its description in RNAcentral is "bacterial SSU rRNA". It matches the Rfam family "Bacterial small subunit ribosomal RNA", at positions 900 to 1399 of the family's 1533-position model. The record is from RNAcentral.
CUUAAAGGAAUUGACGGGGGCCCGCACAAGCGGUGGAGCAUGUGGUUUAAUUCGACGCAACGCGAAGAACCUUACCUGACCUUGACAUGCUGAGAACUUUCCAGAGAUGGAUUGGUGCCUUCGGGAACUCUGAGACAGGUGCUGCAUGGCCGUCGUCAGCUCGUGUCGUGAGAUGUUGGGUUAAGUCCCGUAACGAGCGCAACCCCUAUCCCUGGUUGCUAGCAGGUAAUGCUGAGAACUCCAGGGAGACUGCCGGUGACAAACCGGAGGAAGGUGGGGAUGACGUCAGGUCAUCAUGGCCCUUACGGCCAGGGCUACACACGUGCUACAAUGGCGCGUACAGAGGGCUGCCAACUCGCGAGAGUGAGCCAAUCCCUUAAAACGCGUCGUAGUCCGGAUCGGAGUCUGCAACUCGACUCCGUGAAGUCGGAAUCGCUAGUAAUCGCGAAUCAGAAUGUCGCGGUGAAUACGUUCCCGGGCCUUGUACACACCGCCCGUCA